AUGGUGAAAUUCUUGAACCCGAUUCUGCUCCAAGGUCGCUACGCCGGCCGCAAGGGCGUCAUCGUCAAGUCAAGGCCUUUGAUGACCGCGCCUACGGCCACUGCCUGGUCGCCGGCAUCAAGAAGUACCCCAGCAAGGUGAUCCGAAAGGACUCGGCGAAGAAGACGGCGAAGAAGUCGACGGUGAAGCUUGUGGAUCUGAAAAAGGUCGUCACCCCUGACGUGCUCACCAGCAAGGACAAGAAGGUCACCGCCUUGAAGGAGACUAAGAAGAGGUUCGGGGAAAGGUUCAAGAUGGGGAAGAACAGGUGGUUCUUCACCAAGCUCAGGUUCUGAGCCCUGCAAGCAAAAACGGCGUCAUCUCUGGAAAAUGUAGAACCUAAUGAUGAUGGACUAGAUGAACUGUUUGUGUAUGGGAACCAAGUUCCUGAUAUGGGAGAGAGUCAAAUGACAUCUGUUGUUAUGAGAAGGAGCAGUUACUAAAAAGAGAAAGAUAAACGAUGGAGAUGCUUCAUCUUCUAAGGAAAAGGGUACCAAACCGCCUCCAAAGACAAAAAAUGAACUCAGAGCUAAGGCAGCAAAAAUAAGGGAAGAUGCAAAGAAUAAGAGGGAAGAAAAGAAGGCUGCAGCAAGAGAAGCAUGCAAAGUUGCUCCAACUAGGGGAGGGCCACCAAACGUAGCUGCAAACAAUGGAGGAGCAGCUUCAAGCAAGGGAAAAGCUUCUUCUGCACCACAAGCUUCUCAAUCUUCCCAAGCUUCAACAAGGUCAUCUGUGAGGAACAAGGGAAGUGCAAGGAAUACUAGAAAAUAGUGAUCAGGCAAGAUUAUGAUUUAUAGAGGCAUUGUGCAUGUUUUUGUGCAACCAUGUUAUGUGUCUCAUGGUUGCUUGUUCUAAUCUUUUGCAUAGAUGAUUAGAGCUAUGAACUUGUGCAAACUUAUGCAUCUAUUUGGUUUUUGUUAGAAUGGAUGUAAACAUUGACUUAUGCAUCUAUUUGGUUGUUAUGUAGUAGCUUUUAUUGACAAGUUUGUUUUGUUUUGGAUU
This is an RNA transcript of Fragaria vesca subsp. vesca, 1041 nucleotides long. It is a transcript of the gene named 60S ribosomal protein L27-like, with no coding region annotated. The transcript is spliced from 5 exons. Lineage: Eukaryota; Viridiplantae; Streptophyta; Magnoliopsida; Rosales; Rosaceae. The record is from RefSeq and is a predicted model, not a curated record.